RNAcentral lists this ribosomal RNA (436 nucleotides) under uncultured bacterium. Its description in RNAcentral is "bacterial SSU rRNA". It matches the Rfam family "Bacterial small subunit ribosomal RNA", at positions 28 to 444 of the family's 1533-position model. The record is from RNAcentral.
GAUGAACGCUGGCGGCGUGCUUAACACAUGCAAGUCGAACGAAGCACUUUAUUUGAUUUCCUUCGGGACUGAUUAUUUUGUGACUGAGUGGCGGACGGGUGAGUAACGCGUGGGUAACCUGCCUUGUACAGGGGGAUAACAGUUGGAAACGGCUGCUAAUACCGCAUAAGCGCACAGCAUCGCAUGAUGCAGUGUGAAAAACUCCGGUGGUAUAAGAUGGACCCGCGUUGGAUUAGCUAGUUGGUGAGGUGACGGCCCACCAAGGCGACGAUCCAUAGCCGACCUGAGAGGGUGACCGGCCACAUUGGGACUGAGACACGGCCCAAACUCCUACGGGAGGCAGCAGUGGGGAAUAUUGCACAAUGGGCGAAAGCCUGAUGCAGCGACGCCGCGUGAGCGAAGAAGUAUUUCGGUAUGUAAAGCUCUAUCAGCAGGG